CAAAUUUAAAAUCUACCUGGUUUYCAGGUCGAGUUGUAAUUUGAAGAUACGUUUUUGACGUUCCGGGUUGAACUAAAUCCUUUGGGAUAAGGUAUCAUGGAGGGUGAGAAUCCCGUAUAUACCAACCRUAGGGAUGUUAUUUAAUACGUUUCUAAGAGUCGAGUUGUUUGGGAAUGCAGCUCUAAAUGGGUGGUAAAUUUCACCUAAUGCUAAAUAUAAGCGAGAGACCGAUAGYGAACAAGUACAGUGAUGGAAAGAUGAAAAGAACUUUGAAAAGAGAGUUAAAUAGUAYGUGAAAUUGUUGAAAGGGAAACGAUUGAAGUCAGUCAUGCCRGUGGGAAUCAACUURGAGGAAACUCUGAGUGCACUUYUUCGCUUGGCAGGUCAACGUCGAUUUUGGAUGUCAUAAAAUGAUUGGGGGAAGGUAGCUCCUUCGGGAGUGUUAUAGCCCUUGGUAGAUGUGAUGUCUGGGAUCGAGGAUUGCAAUGGAUACCCUUUGGGGCUAGCCGCCUGAUCUCUAAUYGGUAUUGGGUUACGGAUAGCAUGCUGACCGUGAUCUAAUUAUUGGUUAAAAGGUUAG
This 580-nucleotide ribosomal RNA is filed under the name Glomeromycotina sp. Its description in RNAcentral is "eukaryotic LSU rRNA". It matches the Rfam family "Eukaryotic large subunit ribosomal RNA", at positions 110 to 629 of the family's 3401-position model. The record is from RNAcentral. Lineage: Eukaryota; Fungi; Glomeromycota.